Molecule: long non-coding RNA, 1279 nt
Organism: Cynoglossus semilaevis (tongue sole)
Lineage: Eukaryota; Metazoa; Chordata; Actinopteri; Pleuronectiformes; Cynoglossidae
Exons: 4
Source: RefSeq, a predicted model, not a curated record
UAUUCAUUCACACGUGAACACUUGUUUGUUUAUUAACAUCUUAGUGUCUUAACUUGGAGCCUGGUUUUCACUGGAUGCCACAUAUUGUUUUUCCUUAUAAUUAAUUUAAUUGCCUUUGUUACUUUUUAAAUAUUUUUCUUUCUUUGUAUAUCUCCUGUUAUAACAUAUUUUAAGCUAACAUCGAAACUAUGGAAAAUGACAGGUUCUUAAAUUUAAAGAGGCAAAGUUGCUAGUACUCCAUAUUUUUCUUUUUGAUUCAUAUUUGUUUUGUGAACAUAAUUUAACCCUGUUCGUUUUUAGGUGUAUUUAUAAACUAAUAUUUACUAAUUUCCCCUGCCCGUGUUAAAAAAAGACGAUAAAAAAAUAAAAAUAAAAAAUCAACAUACAGUAGUUAAGGUUCCAGCGGAAAUCGAAAAAAUUACAAAUGGCGCCAGGAAGUGAUGUUGGCCAACCGGAGCGCCAUGUUUGAAACGGCCAGCUUCCCUUCCAAACCGACAGACCGCAGCCUACAAUAUGAAUAUGGGUUACACAGGGAUUGUGGAGAUGCUAAGCGUCCACCGAAACUCUAUCUGAGGAGUACAUUUGGCCUACAUUUUGAGGCAUCGAUGACGGCAACAUGGUACAGUCAGCGGCUCUGAGAGAUUACACCGAAUGAAGGAGUGACACGCGGGCAGAAACAAUAGUAAAGACCCAGUGAUGAGUGCAGCUGAUGAAGGACCAGCCGAUGAUGGAGCCGUAGGAGAAGCACGUCUUGUUUCUCGUGUCAUGACGGCCCUUCAGACCAGCACGCUCCACUGCGCGAUGGUUUCUGUGAAAACUGCGGCAGGCGACCGCUCCACAUGAUCCUUGUUUAUUCGACCACGCCUUUUUUGAUGGGAGUCAGUGCUCUCAUGUGUAACCCCUGAGAGAGAAGUAAUCAUUGGGAGUCCAAGAUGAAGAGAGAUGAAUUUUCUGUAACUGCUCGUUCGCUGGAGCUCAGCUGCGGUGCAUUAUUCCGGUCAUCUAUCCCCUUAAGGCUGUGGGCUGCAGGAGAGUGAUCGUCUGAAAAGCAGUGGAGCGGAAAAAGAUGUAGGGGCAUCCAAAUAUAUCCCCUAUACUUGCAAACGUAAUAACGUUACAAUUUUGGUAACGAAAAGACACAAAAGACACAGUGAAAAUUUAAAAAAAUAUUAGCACAUACUGAAACCGUGUUGGAAAAAGAGUGGGAAGAUAGGCCUGUGACGAUAACAAAUCUGGUUGGAUGAUAUAUUGUCCCACAAAUAUAUCAUAAAUAUGCAAG